UGGUUGAUCCUGGCGGAGGUCACUGCUAUCGGGGUUCGAUUAAGCCAUGCGAGUCGAGAGGGUUCAGACCCUCGGCGGACUGCUCAGUAACACGUGGAUAAUCUGCCCUAUGGUGGAGGAUAACCCCGGGAAACUGGGGAUAAUACUCCAUAAGUCAGGAGUACUGGAAUGUCUCCUAACUGAAAGUUGCGGCGCCAUAGGAUGAAUCUGCGGCCGAUUAGGUAGUUGUUGGGGUAACGGCCCAACAAGCCCGUAAUCGGUACGGGUUGUGGGAGCAAGAGCCCGGAGAUGGAAUCUGAGACACGAUUCCAGGCCCUACGGGGCGCAGCAGGCGCGAAAACUUUACAAUGCAGGAAACUGUGAUAAGGGAACCCCGAGUGCCCGUAAACGCGGGCUGUCCCGGUGUUUAAAACACAUCGGAAGAAAGGGCCGGGCAAGACCGGUGCCAGCCGCCGCGGUAAUACCGGCGGCUCGAGUGGUGACCACUUUUAUUGGGCUUAAAGCGUUCGUAGCUUGAUUUUUAAGUCUCUUGGGAAAUCUCACGGCUUAACUGUGAGGCGUCUAAGAGAUACUGGGAAUCUAGGGACCGGGAGAGGUAAGAGGUACUUCAGGGGUAGAAGUGAAAUUCUGUAAUCCUUGAGGGACCACCGAUGGCGAAGGCAUCUUACCAGAACGGCUUCGACAGUGAGGAACGAAAGCUGGGGGAGCGAACGGGAUUAGAUACCCCGGUAGUCCCAGCCGUAAACUAUGCGCGUUAGGUGUGCCUGUAACUACGAGUUACCGGGGUGCCGAAGUGAAAACGUGAAACGUGCCGCCUGGGAAGUACGGUCGCAAGGCUGAAACUUAAAGGAAUUGGCGGGGGAGCACCACAACGGGUGGAGCCUGCGGUUUAAUUGGACUCAACGCCGGGCAGCUCACCGGAUAGGACAGCGGAAUGAUAGCCGGGCUGAAGACCUUGCUUGACCAGCUGAGAGGAGGUGCAUGGCCGUCGUCAGUUCGUACUGUGAAGCAUCCUGUUUAGUCAGGCAACGAGCGAGACCCA
Molecule: ribosomal RNA, 1042 nt
Filed under: uncultured archaeon
Lineage: Archaea
Description: bacterial SSU rRNA
Rfam family: Archaeal small subunit ribosomal RNA
Source: RNAcentral